RNAcentral lists this ribosomal RNA (420 nucleotides) under uncultured prokaryote. Its description in RNAcentral is "bacterial SSU rRNA". It matches the Rfam family "Bacterial small subunit ribosomal RNA", at positions 9 to 426 of the family's 1533-position model. The record is from RNAcentral.
GAGUUUGAUCCGGCUCAGAGUGAACGCUGGCGGCGUGCUUAACACAUGCAAGUCGAACGAGAACGGUACUAGCUUGCUAGUAUGUCAGCUAGUGGCGGACGGGUGAGUAAUGUAUAGUUAAUCUGCCCUUCAGAGGGGGAUAACUACUGGAAACGGUAGCUAAUACCCCAUAUACCUUCUGCCUUAAUGGUAGUUGGGAAAUGUCUUUUCGCUGAAGGAUGAGACUAUAUGGUAUCAGGUAGUUGGUGGGGUAAGAGCCCACCAAGCCUAUGACGCCUAGCUGGUCUGAGAGGAUGAUCAGCCACACUGGANCUGAGACACGGUCCAGACUCCUACGGGAGGCAGCAGUGGGGAAUAUUGCACANUGGAGGANACUCUGAUGCAGCAACGCCGCGUGGAGGAUGANANAUUUCGGUGCGU